UCCUCCAACCAGCUUUUGUAGCUUGAAAAAGCUCCAUGCCAACGAAAAGGAUUAGUUUUGCCUUUUCUUCAUCUAUCCUCCAUUGAAUCUUGCCGUCCAAAAUGGCGGCCAAUUAUCACCGUAGGUGGAUACCGUAAUAAACAGUAAUGAUAUUCAUAGGCCACCGUCAAUCUCACCUGAAGAGGUCUAUUCACAUGUAAAAAUGUCGGCUCUGGAUGGUGUUGCUUCUUCAAGGAAAAACGCAGGAAGAAAGGGGUUUUGGUACCAAAUGGACUUCCAUUUUACCCUCAAAGAAGACAAGGACCAGUUCUAGUUAGGCUUGAUCGAGUUAAGGGGUCUUUAGGCACUAAAAGAAGGCGCUGGAACUGCUGUCUCAUUUACUCGCCGAUUUAGUUUAAAAAGAGAAUCAUUCUGAGGCUCUAUCACAUGAUACUAGUAGUUCUUCUGCUAUGCUCAAUACUUCAGGUAUGGGUGAUGGGGACGAAGAGCAGCCAUUUUGUGCAUAGAUAUAGGAUCGGCUAUUGGGAAACAUACAUUAUAGUGUUAGUGUGGUAUGGUUGACCGAAGGAUGAUCAGUUACAGACAGAUCGUCAUGUGAUCUGUGCUGAAUUUCGAUUCAAUCCCAGUUGUGAGUCCUGUAAUCGUAACUCAAGUUUAUUAGGCACUAGAUACAGAAGCUCGUACUAGCAUUUUUCUUGUACUGGUAUAUUACCAUCAUAGUACUGCCAUAUUUUUGUCGGCAUCACUGGGCACAGUUGGGAAGAGGUACACAGAUACAGGAGGCUCCUCACCAUCCCAAUAUCUAUUCAACCCUAUAAUGUUUAUUUUUUUU
Molecule: long non-coding RNA, 832 nt
Organism: Amphimedon queenslandica
Lineage: Eukaryota; Metazoa; Porifera; Demospongiae; Haplosclerida; Niphatidae
Exons: 4
Source: RefSeq, a predicted model, not a curated record